UACGUAGGGUGCGAGCGUUGUCCGGAAUUAUUGGGCGUAAAGAGCUCGUAGGCGGUGUGUCGCGUCGGCCGUGAAAACCUGGGGCUUAACUCUGGGCGUGCGGUCGAUACGGGCAUCACUAGAGUUCGGCAGGGGAGACUGGAAUUCCUGGUGUAGCGGUGAAAUGCGCAGAUAUCAGGAGGAACACCGGUGGCGAAGGCGGGUCUCUGGGCCGAUACUGACGCUGAGGAGCGAAAGCAUGGGUAGCGAACAGG
This 254-nucleotide ribosomal RNA is filed under the name uncultured bacterium. Its description in RNAcentral is "partial 16S ribosomal RNA". It matches the Rfam family "Bacterial small subunit ribosomal RNA", at positions 524 to 776 of the family's 1533-position model. The record is from RNAcentral.